GUCCUGGCCUUAAACGAUGGAUGCUUGGUGUCUGGGUUUAUAGUCCCCGGGUGCCGUAGCUAACGCGUUAAGCAUCCCGCCUGGGGAGUACGGUCGCAAGACUGAAACUCAAAGGAAUUGACGGGGACCCGCACAAGCGGUGGAGCAUGUGGUUCAAUUCGACGCAACGCGAAGAACCUUACCAGGGCUAGAAUGCCUCUGACAACCCCAGAGAUGGGGCUUCCUAGGGAAACCUAGGCAGAGUGCAAGGUGCUGCAUGGCUGUCGU
RNAcentral lists this ribosomal RNA (267 nucleotides) under uncultured bacterium. RNAcentral's name for it is "partial 16S ribosomal RNA". It matches the Rfam family "Bacterial small subunit ribosomal RNA", at positions 793 to 1055 of the family's 1533-position model. The record is from RNAcentral.